CCGGCGAUGUCCGAAUGGGGAAACCCAGUGUGAUUCGUCACACUAUCGUUAACUGAAUACAUAGGUUAACGAGGCGAACCGGGGGAACUGAAACAUCUAAGUACCCCGAGGAAAAGAAAUCAACCGAGAUUCCCCCAGUAGCGGCGAGCGAACGGGGAGCAGCCCAGAGUCUGAAUCAGCUUGUGUGUUAGUGGAACGGUCUGGAAAGUCCGACGGUACAGGGUGAUAGUCCCGUACACCAAAAUGCACAGGCUGUGAACUCGAAGAGUAGGGCGGGACACGUGGUAUCCUGUCUGAAUAUGGGGGGACCAUCCUCCAAGGCUAAAUACUCCUGACUGACCGAUAGUGAACCAGUACCGUGAGGGAAAGGCGAAAAGAACCCCGGCGAGGGGAGUGAAAAAGAACCUGAAACCGUGUACGUACAAGCAGUGGGAGCACCUUCGGGUGUGACUGCGUACCUUUUGUAUAAUGGGUCAGCGACUUAUAUUCUGUAGCAAGGUUAACCGUAUAGGGGAGCCGCAGGGAAACCGAGUCUUAACUGGGCGUUAAGUUGCAGGGUAUAGACCCGAAACCCGGUGAUCUAGCCAUGGGCAGGUUGAAGGUUGGGUAACACUAACUGGAGGACCGAACCGACUAAUGUUGAAAAAUUAGCGGAUGACUUGUGGCUGGGGGUGAAAGGCCAAUCAAACCGGGAGAUAGCUGGUUCUCCCCGAAAGCUAUUUAGGUAGCGCCUCGUGAAUUCAUCUUCGGGGGUAGAGCACUGUUUCGGCUAGGGGGUCAUCCCGACUUACCAACCCGAUGCAAACUACGAAUACCGAAGAAUGUUAUCACGGGAGACACACGGCGGGUGCUAACGUCCGUCGUGAAGAGGGAAACAACCCAGACCGCCAGCUAAGGUCCCAAAGUCAUGGUUAAGUGGGAAACGAUGUGGGAAGGCACAGACAGCCAGGAUGUUGGCUUAGAAGCAGCCAUCAUUUAAAGAAAGCGUAAUAGCUCACUGGUCGAGUCGGCCUGCGCGGAAGAUGUAACGGGGCUAAACCAUGCACCGAAGCUGCGGCAGCGACACUAUGUGUUGUUGGGUAGGGGAGCGUUCUGUAAGCCUGCGAAGGUGUGCUGUGAGGCAUGCUGGAGGUAUCAGAAGUGCGAAUGCUGACAUAAGUAACGAUAAAGCGGGUGAAAAGCCCGCUCGCCGGAAGACCAAGGGUUCCUGUCCAACGUUAAUCGGGGCAGGGUGAGUCGACCCCUAAGGCGAGGCCGAAAGGCGUAGUCGAUGGGAAACAGGUUAAUAUUCCUGUACUUGGUGUUACUGCGAAGGGGGGACGGAGAAGGCUAUGUUAGCCGGGCGACGGUUGUCCCGGUUUAAGCAUGUAGGCUGAUUGUCCAGGCAAAUCCGGAUAAUCAAGGCUGAGGUGUGAUGACGAGGCACUACGGUGCUGAAGUAACAAAUGCCCUGCUUCCAGGAAAAGCCUCUAAGCAUCAGGUAACAUCAAAUCGUACCCCAAACCGACACAGGUGGUCAGGUAGAGAAUACCAAGGCGCUUGAGAGAACUCGGGUGAAGGAACUAGGCAAAAUGGUGCCGUAACUUCGGGAGAAGGCACGCUGGUGUGUAGGUGAAGUCCCUGCGGAUGGAGCUGAGACCAGUCGAAGAUACCAGCUGGCUGCAACUGUUUAUUAAAAACACAGCACUGUGCAAACACGAAAGUGGACGUAUACGGUGUGACGCCUGCCCGGUGCCGGAAGGUUAAUUGAUGGGGUUAUCCGUAAGGAGAAGCUCUUGAUCGAAGCCCCGGUAAACGGCGGCCGUAACUAUAACGGUCCUAAGGUAGCGAAAUUCCUUGUCGGGUAAGUUCCGACCUGCACGAAUGGCGUAAUGAUGGCCAGGCUGUCUCCACCCGAGACUCAGUGAAAUUGAACUCGCUGUGAAGAUGCAGUGUACCCGCGGCAAGACGGAAAGACCCCGUGAACCUUUACUAUAGCUUGACACUGAACAUUGAGCCUUGAUGUGUAGGAUAGGUGGGAGGCUUUGAAGCGUGGACGCCAGUCUGCGUGGAGCCAACCUUGAAAUACCACCCUUUAAUGUUUGAUGUUCUAACGUUGGCCCCUGACCGGGGUUGCGGACAGUGUCUGGUGGGUAGUUUGACUGGGGCGGUCUCCUCCCAAAGCGUAACGGAGGAGCACGAAGGUUAGCUAAUCCUGGUCGGACAUCAGGAGGUUAGUGCAAUGGCAUAAGCUAGCUUGACUGCGAGCGUGACGGCGCGAGCAGGUGCGAAAGCAGGUCAUAGUGAUCCGGUGGUUCUGAAUGGAAGGGCCAUCGCUCAACGGAUAAAAGGUACUCCGGGGAUAACAGGCUGAUACCGCCCAAGAGUUCAUAUCGACGGCGGUGUUUGGCACCUCGAUGUCGGCUCAUCACAUCCUGGGGCUGAAGUAGGUCCCAAGGGUAUGGCUGUUCGCCAUUUAAAGUGGUACGCGAGCUGGGUUUAGAACGUCGUGAGACAGUUCGGUCCCUAUCUGCCGUGGGCGCUGGAGAAUUGAGGGGGGCUGCUCCUAGUACGAGAGGACCGGAGUGGACGCAUCACUGGUGUUCGGGUUGUCAUGCCAAUGGCACUGCCCGGUAGCUAAAUGCGGAAGAGAUAAGUGCUGAAAGCAUCUAAGCACGAAACUUGCCCCGAGAUGAGUUCUCCCUGAGACUUUAAGUCUCCUGAAGGAACGUU
RNAcentral lists this ribosomal RNA (2712 nucleotides) under Klebsiella pneumoniae. RNAcentral describes it as "partial 23S ribosomal RNA". It matches the Rfam family "Bacterial large subunit ribosomal RNA". The record is from RNAcentral. Lineage: Bacteria; Pseudomonadati; Pseudomonadota; Gammaproteobacteria; Enterobacterales; Enterobacteriaceae.